CUUCGGGUGAAGGUGGCGGACGGGUGAGUAACGCGUAAAGAACUUGCCUUACAGACUGGGACAACAUUUGGAAACGAAUGCUAAUACCGGAUAUUAUGAUUGGGUCGCAUGAUCUGGUUAUGAAAGCUAUAUGCGCUGUGAGAGAGCUUUGCGUCCCAUUAGUUAGUUGGUGAGGUAACGGCUCACCAAGACGAUGAUGGGUAGCCGGCCUGAGAGGGUGAACGGCCACAAGGGGACUGAGACACGGCCCUUACUCCUACGGGAGGCAGCAGUGGGGAAUAUUGGACAAUGGACCAAAAGUCUGAUCCAGCAAUUCUGUGUGCACGAAGAAGUUUUUCGGAAUGUAAAGUGCUUUCAGUUGGGAAGAAGUCAGUGACGGUACCAACAGAAGAAGCGACGGCUAAAUACGUGCCAGCAGCCGCGGUAAUACGUAUGUCGCAAGCGUUAUCCGGAUUUAUUGGGCGUAAAGCGCGUCUAGGCGGCUUAGUAAGUCUGAUGUGAAAAUGCGGGGCUCAACCCCGUAUUGCGUUGGAAACUGCUAAACUAGAGUACUGGAGAGGUAGGCGGAACUACAAGUGUAGAGGUGAAAUUCGUAGAUAUUUGUAGGAAUGCCGAUGGGGAAGCCAGCCUACUGGACAGAUACUGACGCUAAAGCGCGAAA
Molecule: ribosomal RNA, 661 nt
Filed under: uncultured Fusobacteriota bacterium
Lineage: Bacteria; Fusobacteriati; Fusobacteriota
Description: bacterial SSU rRNA
Rfam family: Bacterial small subunit ribosomal RNA
Source: RNAcentral